AUUAUUUAAAAGAGCAUUAUGUGCCUUUUUCAUUCUCUACUGUGGUGACAGUUUUCAAAUAUAAAAAUGCUGCCAAGAGAACUCAAACAAUAACCUGUGCUGUGAGUGGGCAGUAGUAGUUAGCAUCAACUGAGCAAAAGGCUUUAAGCCAUUAGGAAAACUGUGUUCCAGGUCUCCCUUAGAGACCUGCUUUUAGAGAUGGCCUUAGCAAGGCUGGUGUUUCCCGCUGGAGACUGUGGUUUGUCAGCAGUGACAGAGCUGUUUUUGUUUUUGUCCUGGGACAGAACAUCUAGACAGGAUCUCUUCAGGCUACUACCAGGUGACUUUUUUCUACAAAUCUGCACCUGUACAUGAAAUUUUGUGUCCAAGUUCAGGUUUUUCCCUCUUUAAAUGAACCAAGGUGACUGGAGUGCUUUGGUACAGGCACACAAUGGUAGAAGUCAGUUUAUAGGUACCCGGCUUGGGGCAAGUGCCAAUUGCCCCUUUUAAGCUUGGCGACGAAUAUACAAAUGAACUAGAGAAGUGAAAAGUUAAGCUCUGUGCUACAUUUCUCUUUGGCCUAAAAACAAAAAAAGAAAAAAAUGUAAAUGCAGAAAAACAGUAAACUGAUGAAGAACGGUAGAACCCAAGGAAUUUCUUUAGUGUCGUGUGUUAGCAGUACUCAGGCAUUUUAGUCAUAUUGCUGUGUGCAGUUAUUUGUAUGGAUUUGUUAUUUUUUCAAGUUUUACAUGGCAGCAUCAUCAGCAAUUCAGCAAUUGUGAUGGGCAGGUAGCUUACUGUUGCUGUGACAGUUGUGCGGAAGUAGAACUUGCUCACAGGAAAAUGUUCAAGAGCAUGCUAAUCUGUUAUUAGUUGCUCUGUUGAGAUCAGAGUUGGUGAUCUCAGGUACUUAUGGAUUGCUUUUAUCUGUGCUGCCGUUAAAGUUCUGCUUUUACUGUUUUCAGUUCAAGCUGAGCAGAAAAGUCCUUGAAUGAUGAUUUGCGCUGCCGCUCUGACUGAAAACAGGAGCUCACUAUGGAAAAAAAUCUGUCAUUGUGCCUGUUCACAAUAGUGAAUGCUGGUUAGAUGAGUGCUUGAAGUCUGUCCGGGAACAAGAUUUUAAACAAACCAUGGAGCUGUCAGUUUUUAAUGAUGCCAGCAAGGACAGUUCAGCUGAAAUCAUUGCAAAAUGGAAGAUCAAGUUGGAAGGUGCUGGUGUUCCAGUAAUCAUCGGUAGCAAUAAUUCGUCUCAGCCUCGAGGAGUUGGAUUUGCUAAAAAUCAAGCAGUAAUACAGAGUUCGGGAGCCUAUCUCUGCUUUCUGGAUUCAGAUGAUGUGAUGAUGCCACAGCGGGUUAGACUGCAGUACGAAGCUGCCAUUCAACACCCAAACAGUAUUAUUGGUUGCCAAGUCAGAAGAGAGCCACCAAUGUCUACCGAACGGUACACUCGUUGGAUCAAUAAUCUGACUGAAGAACAGCUUCUUACACAGGUGUUUACCUCCCAUGGACCUACUGUGAUCAUGCCAACCUGGUUCUGUUCUCGAGAAUGGUUUUAUCACGUGGGAAAAUUUGAUGAGGGUGGAAAAGGUGUUCCAGAAGAUUUGUUAUUUUUUUACAAACACAUCCAAAAGGGUGGUCAAGUUGUUCGAGUAAACCAUUGCCUUCUGCUGUACCGUUACCAUCCACAGGCUGCAACUCAUUCUGUCCUAGAGGAAACCAUCUGGAAUCACCGAGUCAGGUUUCUUGAAGACAGAGUCCUGAGUUCCUGGACAUCUUUCACCAUUUGGAAUGCUGGCAAGCAAGGCAAGAAGCUCUACAGAAGCUUGUCACCAGCUAAUCGGAAAAAGGUAACUGCAUUUUGUGAUGUUGAUGAAAAGAAAAUAACAAGAGGAUUCUAUACUUUUGAAGAAUCUGAGGAGAGACCAAAACCAAAAAUUCCAAUAUGUCACUUCAGAGAAGCAACUCCACCUUUCAUUAUCUGUGUGAAGCUGGAUUUGACAGGCGGAGCAUUCGAAACAAACUUGAAUAUGCUGAACUUGAAGGAAGGGGUGGAUUAUUAUCAUUUUAACUAAAAACUAAGUGUACUUCGCAGCUCAUGCUGAGAAUCCAGUUUGUCAAGAUGCCGCAGCACAAACUCUUUCAGUCCUAAGGGCACCUGACCCAAGAGCUUCAGUUUGCAAAGCAGCAGUCGGUGCCUGCAACGUUAUUGUGCUGAACUCUACAAGGGAGAAAGAAGAAAGAGGUCACGUGGAGUAGCAUGUAUUUUACCAGCACAAUAUGUAAUUAAGUAAACUAAAUGGAGAAGAAAAUGUAGAAAUGUAAAGUUAAAUUUUUUACACUCCUUUUUAACCACCUUACAUUUUUAAUCAUCCAUCAGAUACGUGAGCUCUCGAAGAAGAGCAGAGUGUUACGUACACUUGGUUGGGCACUAAGUGGCUGCUAGUAGGGACACUGGAGAGCUGUGAGAAGUCCUUCAAGUUCAGUAAAUAUUGCUCUGAGUAAACUCCAACAGUUCAGAGGACAGGUUGUGUGCAAUAGUGUGAGGCUGUACAUAUUCUUCAAGUACUGAGGCUUUAUUGCAGGUAAAUGAGCAUUUGCUUGCUAGAUUGAGUAUGUGCUGCUAAAGAAACUCUGAAAUCUGCUCUAAGAAUGCUAUUUAUAUUCUGCCUGCAGUUUUUCUUAUAAGGAAAUUCCCUCUUUUCCCAUUGCUGGGGUAAUCUCGUAAAGGAGAAAGGAGUUUGUCCUCUUGAAUUUCAUCACCUACAACUGAAAUAUUUCCUGCAGUUAUCCAUAAUUGUUUAAGAGAGGAACAUGGAACUUUCCUUCAGUGUUACCUUGCUAACUGAGCCUCAUCUUUGAACUUCUCCCAGAAUGGAACAUCUUCCAGACUCCUAUCAAAGCAGAACAUUCUGUACUUCUUGAAGCACUGAGCAGAUGGGCAGUUCCAAACCAUCUGCAUUGAAAUGAAGAAGGAUCUACACAGCCCUAUCAUCUUUCCUGUUUUGAACAUGUUAACUCUAGAACACAUUCUCCCUCUUAUGCAGAGUUAGAAUUGUGAGACUUGCACAUUUUGUGUUAUAAUUCUGCUGUUUAAAUUGACUGGGAAGCUUUUAACCUUUUUUCUUUCUCCAGAAAGAGCAGACAGUUUUUGAAACAUCUGUGCUGCAUUAUUUCAUUCUUCAACUUUGAGUAAGAUGUCACACUACAAGUCCUGAAUGCUUUCAAGAAAUGAAACUGGAAUGGCUUAAGAGAACCGUCUUCAGCAAUUCCAUAUAUUCUGUAGUUAGCUGCGAGGACAUUGCUAGGUGUGCAUUUUAUAUAUUCAUGAACCUGUGAAGAACUGCAUCUGUUGCAUGGAAGAUACACCCUGUAUUAGCAGAACAACUGAUCAUUACAAAGAAAAAAGCUCAGGAGCACCUUUCCAUACUUUACCUUGGAUACUAGCUGUGGUUUGGGCACUUUCAUGAGAUCACAGAGGUGGUUACGUUUCUCUCUUACUGCUGUUAGUUCAGCUUCCCUGCGUGAGGAAAUGCCUUCCCGUUAAUUCAAAAACAAAAGCAUGACGUUGGCUGCAUACACACAACUGCUUAAGCUACCGGUUCGCUAUUAUUUUGCUAUGCAGGUGUUUAUUCUUUCACGUACAUUUCAAACUAGAAGUUCUGGUUGUGUUGCUAUUUUAAGAAUAAUGUAGCCUUUUCACAGCAUUUGAAGCCAGAUAUACCAUAAAGACACAACAGGUCUCCGAGAAGUGACAGUUACUAGUAAAAACUGGUAAGACUAUUCUUUUAUAUAUAUUUAAAAAAAAAAAAAAAAAACACCAUUUUUAAUAGAAGCUUCUUGAUUAUAAGUUCACAAACUUGUUCUCUGAAUUUAUAGCUUCUUUUUUGAUUUAGAAAAUAUCACAUCAAGAAUUUAACUAAAUGCCACUGGCUUUGGAAAACAUUCUGCUAUCUAGGAAAGCUUUCUCUUGAAGUAGAAAGGAUCAGACCGAAUGCUAGUGGGUGUUUAAAAGUUAUUGAACGUGGUGUCUACAAGACAAAUUCCUAAACAGCAGCCAGUUACAAAAAGCUCCAAAAUGAUGAAAACCCAAACACACUUCUCGUCCAUGUUGCAAGUAUCUAUCGCUAACUGGAAUGCUGUGAUCAUGCUAAUAUUGCUCACUAAUUCAGUAGAUUUGUUUUUCUUAAGUAGUGAGUGUAAAUGAGCUAUUAAAAUUGACUCUUAGCACAUAAACUGAUUCCAAAACUAUGGAGAAAAAGCAUAAAGUACAAAUUAAUUAAAAAUAACCUUGAAUAUACAUAUAUUUCUAUUUGGACACCUGGGACAAUUUAAUCACCUAGGUUGGAAAAGAUCUUCAAGAUCAUCAAGCCCAACCAUCAAUCUGACCUACCAACUCCCACCACUAAAUCAUGUCAUUUGUCACAUUUCAUUUUGGAAACCUUCCUAUAGCUAAACUGAAAUUAUUUAAUUUCUUUAAACUUUGAAUUACACAAUCAUAUGCUAAACGCUUCGUAGUUCCAACAAAAAGAAUGUUUCAAAUAUGCGUAUUCCAGAAAUGACUGCCUUCCCCAAAUAUCUAAUGCUCGUUGAGCUUCCUGAUGUUAAUGCUUAUUUUAAUUCUGAAAUUACCGUGAUUGCUUUAGCGCUGAGAGCACUUGAAAAUAAUAAGCAGCUCUCUGUGUCACUCAGCAAUGACUUCAAAUACCUUCUUUUGUAAACAAUUCAAAUCUAGUAUGAUAAAACAAGAUUUAAGUAAACUGGCACUUCACCUUUAAUCUCAGUGCAAUGGAUAUGUUGCAACUGGGAACUUAGAGCAAGCCCUGAACUAAAAGAGAAUGAAACAAGCAAGGGAAUAAAACAGGCAGCCAGUCACACCUUAAAAAUUACAAUGUGAAAAGAGAGUAUGUAUUUUGGUCUGAAAUGGCUUAUAGGAAGAAAAUUGCCUUGUUUUUGUGAGUAACUCAUAUAUGAGUAGAGCACACCUACUCUGUCGCAAUUUGGUGUGUUCCACUUCUAAUUUUGGUAUUGUAAACAUCCCUUUGUGACAGCAGCAACCUAAUCCUCCUCAGUUAUUUCUGUUAAUUUUUUUUUCUUCUGUAGAAAAAAAACUUUUAACUUCUGAGCAAGCCUGCUCUUAGUUCAGAUUCCACAAGCAAGCACGGAAUCACGCUGGGCAGAACACUAACCAUCAAUGCACACUUAAGCAAGUAAGCAGAAUUGUGAAUAACUAGUUCUUUCAAUUCUGAGGCUGUUUUUCUAAUUUUGUGCUGAAAAAAAUCAGAAAAAUGUGAAGCAGGCACCCCUUACAAUGACAAACCUUAAUUUUGUUUCCCAAAUAUGAAGUUAUUAAAGCUCAAACACUGAAAUAAACUGGAAAUUAAAGUUAAAUAAUGUAAGCAUGCAGUCUGAAAAUGUGUAAACCACAACAUUACAGUAUACUUGUUCCUUGAACACGUCUCAGUUAAUUUCCAUGAAAUGUCAAUGAAGGAAAAAGCCAUUUAACAUAACGAUUAGUAGGAUAUAUAUUUUUGAUAUCUGGCUAUUCUUAGACACACUUUCUCAUGUAUUAACCUUGACUGCUGUAUGAGACUGGGUGUUGGGCUAGCGGACCCAUGACCCAGACACCUGUAAUAAGGGAAAAUGUUUAAAAAAUAUUUAAAAUGGAAGCUAAACUAAUUAUCUUAAAGCUCAGUUAUUUUCCUCAAACGUCCAGGGCAUGCGGUCUUACACGAACACUUCCAGUGACUGCAGAAAACAAGCAAGCAAACAAAGAAGUCAAAAGUAGGCCUCCUCCUGUCACCUUAUGGAUCUAUUCAUUUAGUUUCUUUGACGUAAGAAGUCUGCUAAAAAACAAAACAAAACUCAGUGUCAGCACUCCAGAGGUGCUGGCAGAAUGAGCUCCUGACAGUGAAGGAGAACCUUGCUGCUUUGUUGAAUUCUGCUCAGGAAGAAUGGGAUUCUUUCUCCUCGCCCUUGUAAGAAGCUAAUAUUACAGGUACCAGCAGGUAAAUAAAUAAGCAAAUAAAUUAUAUUAUA
Molecule: RNA transcript, 6015 nt
Organism: Oxyura jamaicensis (ruddy duck)
Lineage: Eukaryota; Metazoa; Chordata; Aves; Anseriformes; Anatidae
Gene: B3GNTL1
Gene name: UDP-GlcNAc:betaGal beta-1,3-N-acetylglucosaminyltransferase like 1
Exons: 14
Source: RefSeq, a predicted model, not a curated record